Molecule: ribosomal RNA, 184 nt
Filed under: uncultured bacterium
Lineage: Bacteria
Description: partial 16S ribosomal RNA
Rfam family: Bacterial small subunit ribosomal RNA
Source: RNAcentral
CAUGAAGCUGGAAUCGCUAGUAAUCGCGAAUCAGAAUGUCGCGGUGAAUACGUUCCCGGGUCUUGUACACACCGCCCGUCACACCAUGGGAGUUGGUAACGCCCCGAAGUCAGUGACCCCAACCGGAAGGAGGGAGCUGCCGAAGGCGGGACCGGUAACUGGGGUGAAGUCGUAACAAGGUAGC